RNAcentral lists this long non-coding RNA (206 nucleotides) under Malus domestica (apple). RNAcentral's name for it is "long non-coding RNA (MDOM_LNC019284)". Lineage: Eukaryota; Viridiplantae; Streptophyta; Magnoliopsida; Rosales; Rosaceae. The record is from RNAcentral.
GCAGCAUGAAGGAUAAAGAGAAGAAAAAUGAGAAGAGAUGAUAUGAGAUACUUUUGCUUUUGAAGAAGUAACUUUCCACAGGCUUAUUCUUGAACUGAGCUGGAGGGUUUUCUGGUUUCCUCCAGAGUAUAAGGCCGACUGAAGAAUUUGAGGGUCAAAACAAGUCCAUCAAAUCUAGAGUACGUUCGACCCUGCUGAUAUGGGAU